This 68-nucleotide non-coding RNA is filed under the name human gut metagenome. Its description in RNAcentral is "Fluoride riboswitch". It matches the Rfam family "Fluoride riboswitch aptamer (crcB RNA motif)", at positions 4 to 58 of the family's 64-position model. The record is from RNAcentral.
GGAACAGGGAAUGAAGUUCUCCCCUGAUAUAUUUAUCAAAACCGCUGAUAUAAGCUGAUGACUUCUGU